Molecule: ribosomal RNA, 468 nt
Filed under: uncultured bacterium
Lineage: Bacteria
Description: partial 16S ribosomal RNA
Rfam family: Bacterial small subunit ribosomal RNA
Source: RNAcentral
GACGAACGCUGGCGGCGUGCUUAACACAUGCAAGUCGAACGGAAAGGCCCUGCUUUCGUGGGGUGCUCGAGUGGCGAACGGGUGAGUAACACGUGAGUAACCUGCCCUUGACUUUGGGAUAACUUCAGGAAACUGGUGCUAAUACCGGAUACGUGCUCCUGCUGCAUGGUGGGGGUCGGAAAGUUUCGGCGGAUGGGGAUGGACUCGCGGCUUAUCAGCUUGUUGGUGGGGUAGUGGCUUACCCAGGCUUUGACGGGUAGCCGGCCUGAGAGGGUGACCGGCCACAUUGGGACUGAGAUACGGCCCAGACUCCUACGGGAGGCAGCAGUGGGGAAUAUUGCACAAUGGGCGGAAGCCUGAUGCAGCAACGCCGCGUGCGGGAUGACGGCCUUCGGGUUGUAAACCGCUUUCGCCUGUGACGAAGCGUGAGUGACGGUAAUGGGUAAAGAAGCACCGGCUAACUACGUG